GUAAAAGUCGUAACAAGGUCUCCGUUGGUGAACCAGCGGAGGGAUCAUUACCGAGUUUACAACUCCCAAACCCCUGUGAACAUACCUUAUGUUGCCUCGGCGGAUCAGCCCGCGCCCCGUAAAA
Molecule: ribosomal RNA, 124 nt
Filed under: Fusarium culmorum
Lineage: Eukaryota; Fungi; Ascomycota; Sordariomycetes; Hypocreales; Nectriaceae
Description: partial 18S ribosomal RNA
Rfam family: Eukaryotic small subunit ribosomal RNA (bases 1-50)
Source: RNAcentral